This is an RNA transcript of Cyprinus carpio (common carp), 220 nucleotides long. RefSeq lists it as uncharacterized. The record is from RefSeq and is a predicted model, not a curated record. NCBI's taxonomy places the organism in Eukaryota, Metazoa, Chordata, Actinopteri, Cypriniformes, Cyprinidae.
UUUUUGUUGCAGUAAAUUGACAAACAGAAUCGCUCCAGGACCAUGGAAGCUGAUCAAGAACAUGAAUGUUCCACAACAGUUGACUGGCUCUGUGGACUGUGGGAUCUUCAUGCUGAUGUAUGCUCUGCACAUGGUCUUUGAGGCACCCUUUGAUUUUACAGCUUCGGAUUUUCCUGUAAUUCGAAAAUGGUGGUGCCUUAUCUCAUGGAGAAUUUUGCCA